This 434-nucleotide ribosomal RNA is filed under the name Balmes birmanus. Its description in RNAcentral is "partial 16S ribosomal RNA". The stretch from base 1 to 129 matches the Rfam family "Archaeal large subunit ribosomal RNA", at positions 1936 to 2099 of the family's 2987-position model. Lineage: Eukaryota; Metazoa; Arthropoda; Insecta; Neuroptera; Psychopsidae. The record is from RNAcentral.
AAUAUAAAGUCUAACCUGCCCACUGAUAUAUUAAAGGGCCGCAGUAUUUUGACUGUGCAAAGGUAGCAUAAUCAUUUGUCUUUUAAUUAAAGACUAGAAUGAAUGGUUGAAUGUAGUAUUAACUGUCUCAUUUUUAAAAUAAUAAAAAUUUAUUUUUUUAGUUAAAAAACUAAAAUAAAUUUAAAAGACGAGAAGACCCUAUAGAUCUUUAUAAAUAAUAUUUAUAUUUAAUAUAGAAUAAAAAUUAUUAUAUAAUAUAUAUAUAUAUAUUUAUUUUAUUGGGGUGAUAGGAAAAUUUAAUAAACUUUUUUUAUAUUAUAAACCAAUGAUUUUUGAAUAAUUGAUCCAUUAUUAUUGAUUAAAAAUUUAAGUUACCUUAGGGAUAACAGCGUAAUUUUUUUUGAGAGUUCAUAUCGAAAAAAAAGAUUGCGACC